This 226-nucleotide ribosomal RNA is filed under the name uncultured bacterium. RNAcentral's name for it is "partial 16S ribosomal RNA". It matches the Rfam family "Bacterial small subunit ribosomal RNA", at positions 28 to 250 of the family's 1533-position model. The record is from RNAcentral.
GACGAACGCUGGCGGCGUGCUUAACACAUGCAAGUCGAGCGGUAAGGCCCUUUCGGGGGUACGACGAGCGGCGAACGGGUGAGUAACACGUGGGUGACCUGCCCUCAGCUCUGGGAGUAAAGCCUGGGAAACUAGGGUCGUAAUACCGGAUAUGACUCCAUGACGCAUGUUGUGGGGUGGAAAGCCUUGUGCGGCUGAGGAUGGGCCCGCGGCCUAUCAGCUUGUU